CCUACGGGUGGCAGCAGUGAGGGAUAUUGGUCAAUGGACGCAAGUCUGAACCAGCCAUGCCGCGUGCAGGAAGACGGCUCUAGGAGUUGUAAACUGCUUUUGUACGAGGGUAAAUCCCGAUACGUGUAUCGGGGUGAAAGUAUCGUACGAAUCAGGAUCGGCUAACUCCGUGCCAGCAGCCGCGGUAAUACGGAGGAUUCAAUCGUUAUCCGGAUUUAUUGGGUUUAAAGGGUGCGUAGGCGGUUCGGUAAGUUAGAGGUGAAAUCCCGGGGCUCAACUCCGGAACUGCCUUGGAUACUGGCGGGCUAGAGUUUAGUUGCGGUAGGCGGAAUGUAUGGUGUAGCGGUGAAAUGCAUAGAGAUCAUGCAGAACACCGAUUGCGAAGGCAGCUUACCAAACUACGACUGACGUUGAGGCACGAAAGCGUGGGGAGCAAACAGGAUUAGAUACCCUUGUAGUC
Molecule: ribosomal RNA, 460 nt
Filed under: uncultured bacterium
Lineage: Bacteria
Description: partial 16S ribosomal RNA
Rfam family: Bacterial small subunit ribosomal RNA
Source: RNAcentral